UAGCGUAAUAAUUUGUCCCUUAAUUAGGGAAAGGUAUGAAAGGUUUGACGAAGGAGCCCCUGUCUCUUUAAUACAGUUUAAAUUUAAAUUCUAGUUUAAAAUGACUAGAUUCUUAAAAAAGACGAGAAGACCCCAUCGAGCUUAAUAGCAUCCUCCUGUUAAGGUUUGUUGUAAGUUUUAUUGGGGCAAUAGGAAGUAAAGGUAUUUCUUCCUUGUAAAGUAUUGAUCCAGUAUGAUUGAACAGAGAAAAAGCUACCGUGGGGAUAACAGCGUAAUUCUCUCUGAGAGUUCUUAUUGAUGAGGGAGUUUGCGACCUCGAUGUUGAAUUAAGGUUACCUUUUGGAGCAGAAGCUAAAAUCGGUGAGACUGUUCGUCUCUUAAAACUUUACGUGAUCUGAGUUCAGACCGGAG
Molecule: ribosomal RNA, 411 nt
Filed under: Cyamiocardium crassilabrum
Lineage: Eukaryota; Metazoa; Mollusca; Bivalvia; Cyamiidae
Description: partial large subunit ribosomal RNA
Rfam family: Bacterial large subunit ribosomal RNA
Source: RNAcentral